Long non-coding RNA from Rhineura floridana, 1161 nucleotides. RefSeq lists it as uncharacterized. The transcript is spliced from 3 exons. The record is from RefSeq and is a predicted model, not a curated record. Lineage: Eukaryota; Metazoa; Chordata; Lepidosauria; Squamata; Rhineuridae.
GGCACGGAAACCAGUGGGAUGGAUCCAUAAUGUUGGUGAAACCUUGUUAUUAGGUGCUGGUGAUUUUUCUGUCCAAAAUACGAGCCAUUCUGUACAUUGGAAGCUUCCCAAAGGGCAAGCCUGCUGAGCAACGCAAGGAUAGUCAACUAAAGAUAACAUCUUUCAUGAAGAAGAUGACAGGCAGAAAAUAAAGAAGCCUGGAUGUGAAAGAGGACGAGGAGGCUGGAGGGAGUUCUAUAUCUACAGAAAAGAUCCAAGAAAUAUUUAACAAAGAACUUGAAACUUUUGAGGAAAAGAACUUGAAAGCGUAUCAGGAAAGAGAGAAGGAAAGAGAAAAAAAAUGAGAAAAUGCUGGAUGAGGUUUUGGGAGACCUGGAAAAAAGAUGGAGAGCAAAAAUUAAAAGAUUAAGGAUAAGGUCGAUGUAAUAUCAGGUAGCACUGAUAGUCUGGAUUCCAUAGUAGGUAAAAUAUCAGAGAAGGUCUCAGUGUAGUAUGAAAAGAUUAAAAAAAAACCAGAUAGGGCAGGAUGACUAUAAAACAGUGCUUUGGGAAUCAAAGAAUGUUAACAGAGCUUUAGAAAUACAACUGGAGAGAAUACAUAAUAGCCUUGAAGUAAUGCAACGGGAGGUCAGGAAGAAGAAUGCAAAACGAAGUGGACUACCAUAGGGACUGGAGAAGGGGAAAGCUAUAUCCUAUAGAUAUUGGCCAAAUGAGAUACUGACUAUUGAAAGCAAUAAGAUUGGAAUUCUGUCUGACACCCAGAUAUCCUUACAAAAUGAAGAAAAUAAAACACAGAUGGGGCACUCCCUUCAGACUUUCCAUCCUCUGUAACAGUCAACGGCUUACAAUAAAAUCAAUUGAGCAAGCAAAGGCAAUGGAAGAAAAAAAUAAAUUUUCUAAGUCAUCCAAAUACUCUGAAUCAGUCCUUGAAGAUGACAAGUUUCCCCAGCAGAGCUCUGUUCUGAAUGAAGUACAUGCUGAUACCUAAAUAAUUAAAAUAGAGUUUAGUGGUUAUAGGUGUACUAUAUGAACACUGCUGUUCUGUGCUGUGUUUGCUGUUUACUUUUUGUCUUUCUUGGUUUCCCCCCUUUCUUUUUCCUUUUCCUUUUUUUUAUUUUUCCAUUUUAAGAUCAGUUUUGGAAACUGACUCACCACACACUG